RNAcentral lists this long non-coding RNA (403 nucleotides) under Homo sapiens (human). RNAcentral's name for it is "non-protein coding lnc-CDY1B-16:1". Lineage: Eukaryota; Metazoa; Chordata; Mammalia; Primates; Hominidae. The record is from RNAcentral.
AUGGCACAUGUUUCUUCAGAAAUUCAAGAUGUUUCUCCCAAAGAUUAGUUAACUGGUUCAGAAGCCUCCAGUAGGUCUCCGUUGGAUGGCACAUGUUUCUUCAGAAAUUCAAGAUGUUUCUCCCAAAGAUUAGUUAACUGGUUCAGAAGCCUCCAGUAGGUCUCCGUUGCGACAGAAUUUUCAAAGAUCUGCCUUUCUAGCCACCUUUCUGGCAGAAGAGAAAGAAUCCGAUGCCUUAAGCAAAUUAAAGUUUUAUUAUAAUCCAAAUUUCAAACGUGGCUGUCCCCAGCAUUUAGUAAGGGUGAAAAGAAGAAUUGGUGUUAAAAAUGCUUCACUUAUACCUACUUUAUUCAAUGAAGAUUUCAACAAGAAGCAUUUUAGAUCAGGAGCUAACAUUAACAGU